CGCACCCUUCCGCCCUCCCGGAAUCCCCGAGUCGUGCCUCUCCGGGUAGCGCCUUACUGCUGGGUCUGAAGAGGGUGUCUGUGCAGCUGGUCGACUGCAGGAAAACAACGGGGCUGAAUGGAACUACGAGACGAGGAGACAAAGAGGAAGAUUUGACUGAUCAAAGUAAAAGACUGCUGGGUAUGAAGAGGGUGUCUGUGCGGCUGGUCGACUGCAGGAAAACAACGGGACUGAGUGGAACUAUGAGACGAGGAGGAGGAGAAGAAGAAGAUAAUGAGUGAGAUUUGACUGAUCAAAAUAAGUAGGAGGGUUAUGUAGGAGCAGAAUGUGUUUACUUUGGACUUCAACCUACACAUUAAUAAUAUGAAGAAGCAGCUGCUAUCCUAGGAGCAUGAACAACGACUCAUCUCCUGGUGGCACAAAACAUUUAAAAUAAAAUGUUUUUAUAAUAAAUAUUCUGCACUAGCAUUUAAACAAAAUACAAAUAUUCUGACAAGUGAUUAGGAAGUGGAAUCUGGUCAAGUGGUGAGAAUCCUCAUUCAACAUAAACGUGAUUAGGAAGUGGAAUCUGGUCCAACAGGUCUUACAGGAAGUACAGGUCGUAAAAACAUUGUCUUGAGGCACCAUGACACGUCAAGACACAAGAAAACUAUAUUUAGGGAAGUGUCUUCAAGACAUUUUCUAGGCCAACUUUUCUGGACCUCACUUCCCGACAGCUCAGUCUCUGCUCUACUCAUUUGGCUAAUUAGAGAACAGGCUACUCUGGGGGGGGAAAAAAGUUAAAUCAAAGCUCAAUCAUUGUCCUCAAGAUUACAUAAUGAUAGGAUUCUACAUAACAGAACCGAAUAUAAACAGAACACAGUGUGUGUGUGUACGAGAUUCUCUACUUCACACACAUCUGUAACGGAUGUGAAACGGCUAGCUAGUUAGCGGUGGUGCGCGCUAAAUAGCGUUUCAAUCGGUGACGUCACUUGCUCUGAGACCUUGAAGUAGUAGUUCCCCUUGCUCUGCAAGUUCCGUAGCAAUGCUUUUGUGGAGCAAUGGGUAACGAUGCUUCGAGGGUGACUGUUGUUGAUGUGUGCAGAGGGUCCCUGGUUCGCGCCCGGGUAUGGGUGAGGGAAGGGGACGGUCUAAAGUUAUACUGUUACACAUCCACAUGUGCAGUAGCUUCAGGACAUUUAGCUGUCAGGAAGAGGGGUCCGGAACAGUCGGAUCUGUAGCCUCUCCGUUGUUUAUAUAUUAGUGGUUUGAGAGAGAGGCCAUAAAAUGUUUUCAGACACAUUUGGAAGGCAUGUCUUGAUACAUAAUGGCAUCUUAAAGAUGUAUUUUUUUUUAAAGUAUCUAUGUCUUGAAGCGUCUCAAGAUUUCUCAACUUGUGAUGGCUGGGUACGUAGGUUUAUAAACGAUCAGAAACAUAUUUUCUCAGUCUUCACUUUGGGCUUCCAUAGUCCGUUUGUGAUGGCUGGGUACGUAGGUUUAUAAGCGAUCAGAAACAUAUUUUCUCAGUCUUCACUUUGGGCUUCCAUAGUCCGAUUGUGAGA
Oncorhynchus tshawytscha (Chinook salmon) is the source of this 1541-nucleotide long non-coding RNA. The record is from Ensembl. NCBI's taxonomy places the organism in Eukaryota, Metazoa, Chordata, Actinopteri, Salmoniformes, Salmonidae.